RNAcentral lists this unclassified non-coding RNA (358 nucleotides) under soil metagenome. RNAcentral's name for it is "partial contains 5.8S ribosomal RNA, internal transcribed spacer 2, and large subunit ribosomal RNA". The stretch from base 1 to 120 matches the Rfam family "5.8S ribosomal RNA", at positions 35 to 154 of the family's 154-position model. The record is from RNAcentral.
GAUGAAGAACGUAGCGAAAUGCGAUAAGUAAUGUGAAUUGCAGAAUUCAGUGAAUCAUCGAAUCUUUGAACGCACAUUGCGCCCGUCAGUAUUCUGGCGGGCAUGCCUGUUCGAGCGUCAUUACGCCCCUCAAGUCCCCUGUGGACUUGGUGUUGGGGAUCGGCGAGGCUGGUUUUCCAGCACAGCCGUCCCUUAAAUUAAUUGGCGGUCUCGCCGUGGCCCUCCUCUGCGCAGUAGUAAAACACUCGCAACAGGAGCCCGGCGCGGUCCACUGCCGUAAAACCCCCCAACUUUUUAUAGUUGACCUCGAAUCAGGUAGGACUACCCGCUGAACUUAAGCAUAUCAAUAAGCUGAGGA